AAAAAAAAAGGUUCCACAAAGCUAUGAUUGCUUAAGGGAUGGCAUAAUAAUUAAUCACUGCCAGGACCCUCCCACAAGCCAUGUGAUUUCUCUUUUUACAUACAUUUGUUUUUUGUCCAUCCUCUAAUUGUAUACAUCAGUAGGAAUUAAUAUAGUACAAUUAUAGAAGCUAAUAAUACAAACUAAUUUUUAAAACAUGGAUCUUGGAGAAUAGAUACAAAGAUUUUGACUAAAAUAAUAAUCAGCAGAAAAAAAAGAAACAAUAAUCACGAGUUAUGGAUCUCCG
This 286-nucleotide long non-coding RNA is filed under the name Brassica rapa (field mustard). RNAcentral describes it as "long non-coding RNA (BRAP_LNC005626)". The record is from RNAcentral. Lineage: Eukaryota; Viridiplantae; Streptophyta; Magnoliopsida; Brassicales; Brassicaceae.